GCCAUAUCACACUGAAACACCAGCUCAUCUGAUUACCAAAGUUAAGCAACAUCAAGUCUGGUCAGUACUUAGAUGGUUGACUCUUUGGGAAUACCAGGUGCUGUAAGC
Molecule: non-coding RNA, 108 nt
Organism: Acanthosepion pharaonis
Lineage: Eukaryota; Metazoa; Mollusca; Cephalopoda; Sepiida; Sepiidae
Source: the annotation of a GenBank genome assembly